UGAGUACGAGACACUACGGUGUCGAAGCAGUCUAUGUCAUACUUCCAAGAAAAGCUUGCACUGUCAUAAACAAAUAAUGCCUGUACCAUAACCGACACAGGUGGGUAGGUAGAGUAUACUAAGGGGCGCGAGAUAACUCUCUCUAAGGAACUCGGCAAAAUGACUCCGUAACUUCGGGAGAAGGAGUGCCUUAUAUUUUAUAAGGUUGCAAUAACAAGAUCCAAGCAACUGUUUACCAAAAACACAGGUCUCCGCUAAGUCGUAAGACGAUGUAUGGGGGCUGACGCCUGCCCAGUGCCAGAAGGUUAAAGAAGUUGGUUAGUAUUUGCGAAGCUGAUAACUGAAGCCCUGGUGAACGGCGGCCGUAACGAUAACGGUCCUAAGGUAGCGAAAUUCCUUGUCGGGUAAGUUCCGACCCGCACGAAAGGCGUAAUGAUUUGGAUACUGUCUCGGAGAGGGACUCGGUGAAAUAGACUUGUCUGUGAAGAUGCGGACUACUUGCACCAGGACAGAAAGACCCUAUGAAGCUUUACUGUAACUUGAAAUUGAAAUUGGACUUUACUUGCGCAGUAUAGGUGGGAGGCUUUGAGAAUAUUCUUGCGGGAAUAUUGGAGCCAUUAGUGAGAUACCACUCUGGUAAUGUUAGAUUUCUAACUUUGUAUCAUUAUCUGGUCAUAGAACAGUUUCAGGCGGGCAGUUUGACUGGGGCGGUCGCCUCCUAAACGGUAACGGAGGCGCACAAAGGUUUCCUCUGAACGGGUAGAAAUCGUAUCUAGAGAGUAAAGGCAUAAGGAAGCUUGACUGUGAGACCUACAAGUCGAGCAGGGACGAAAGUCGGUCUUAGUGAUCUGACGGUGCUGAGUGGAAAGGCCGUCACUCAACGGAUAAAAGUUACUCUAGGAUAACAGGCUGAUCUCCCCCAAGAGUUCACACCGACGGGGAGGUUUGGCACCUCGAUGUCGGCUCAUCGCACCCUGGGGCGGUAGUACGUCCCAAGGGUUGGGCUGUUCGCCCAUGAAAGCGGUACGCGAGCUGGGUUCAGAACGUCGUGAGACAGUUCGGUCCAUAUCCGGUGUAAGCGUUAGAAUAUUGAGAGGAGCCUUCUUUAGUACGAGAGGACCGAGAAGGAUGCACCGCUGGUGUACCAGUUAUUGUGCCAACAGUAAACGCUGGGUAGCUAUGUGUGGAGUGGAUAACCGCUGAAAGCAUCUAAGUGGGAAGCCCACCUCAAGAUAAGUAUUCUUAUCACGUAAGUGAAUAAGGUCACGGUAAGACUAACCGUUUGAUAGGCAUUAAGUGUAAAUCUAGUAAUAGACGAGCUGAGAUGUACUAACAGACCGAAGAC
This 1345-nucleotide ribosomal RNA is filed under the name metagenome. RNAcentral describes it as "bacterial LSU rRNA". It matches the Rfam family "Bacterial large subunit ribosomal RNA", at positions 1564 to 2925 of the family's 2925-position model. The record is from RNAcentral.